Molecule: ribosomal RNA, 253 nt
Filed under: uncultured bacterium
Lineage: Bacteria
Description: partial 16S ribosomal RNA
Rfam family: Bacterial small subunit ribosomal RNA
Source: RNAcentral
UACAGAGGGGGCAAGCGUUGUUCGGAAUUACUGGGUGUAAAGGGCGCGUAGGCGGCCUGCUAAGUCGAACGUGAAAUCCCUGGGCUCAACCCAGGAACUGCGUCCGAUACUGGUUGGCUUGAAUCCGGGAGAGGGAUGCGGAAUUCCAGGUGUAGCGGUGAAAUGCGUAGAUAUCUGGAGGAACACCGGUGGCGAAGGCGGCAUCCUGGACCGGCAUUGACGCUGAGGCGCGAAAGCCAGGGGAGCAAACGGG